RNAcentral lists this ribosomal RNA (2863 nucleotides) under Staphylococcus aureus C4155. RNAcentral describes it as "bacterial LSU rRNA". It matches the Rfam family "Bacterial large subunit ribosomal RNA". RNAcentral also lists the same sequence under 1 other name. Lineage: Bacteria; Bacillati; Bacillota; Bacilli; Caryophanales; Staphylococcaceae. The record is from RNAcentral.
UUAAGUUAUUAAGGGCGCACGGUGGAUGCCUUGGCACUAGAAGCCGAUGAAGGACGUUACUAACGACGAUAUGCUUUGGGGAGCUGUAAGUAAGCUUUGAUCCAGAGAUUUCCGAAUGGGGAAACCCAGCAUGAGUUAUGUCAUGUUAUCGAUAUGUGAAUACAUAGCAUAUCAGAAGGCACACCCGGAGAACUGAAACAUCUUAGUACCCGGAGGAAGAGAAAGAAAAUUCGAUUCCCUUAGUAGCGGCGAGCGAAACGGGAAGAGCCCAAACCAACAAGCUUGCUUGUUGGGGUUGUAGGACACUCUAUACGGAGUUACAAAGGACGACAUUAGACGAAUCAUCUGGAAAGAUGAAUCAAAGAAGGUAAUAAUCCUGUAGUCGAAAAUGUUGUCUCUCUUGAGUGGAUCCUGAGUACGACGGAGCACGUGAAAUUCCGUCGGAAUCUGGGAGGACCAUCUCCUAAGGCUAAAUACUCUCUAGUGACCGAUAGUGAACCAGUACCGUGAGGGAAAGGUGAAAAGCACCCCGGAAGGGGAGUGAAAUAGAACCUGAAACCGUGUGCUUACAAGUAGUCAGAGCCCGUUAAUGGGUGAUGGCGUGCCUUUUGUAGAAUGAACCGGCGAGUUACGAUUUGAUGCAAGGUUAAGCAGUAAAUGUGGAGCCGUAGCGAAAGCGAGUCUGAAUAGGGCGUUUAGUAUUUGGUCGUAGACCCGAAACCAGGUGAUCUACCCUUGGUCAGGUUGAAGUUCAGGUAACACUGAAUGGAGGACCGAACCGACUUACGUUGAAAAGUGAGCGGAUGAACUGAGGGUAGCGGAGAAAUUCCAAUCGAACCUGGAGAUAGCUGGUUCUCUCCGAAAUAGCUUUAGGGCUAGCCUCAAGUGAUGAUUAUUGGAGGUAGAGCACUGUUUGGACGAGGGGCCCCUCUCGGGUUACCGAAUUCAGACAAACUCCGAAUGCCAAUUAAUUUAACUUGGGAGUCAGAACAUGGGUGAUAAGGUCCGUGUUCGAAAGGGAAACAGCCCAGACCACCAGCUAAGGUCCCAAAAUAUAUGUUAAGUGGAAAAGGAUGUGGCGUUGCCCAGACAACUAGGAUGUUGGCUUAGAAGCAGCCAUCAUUUAAAGAGUGCGUAAUAGCUCACUAGUCGAGUGACACUGCGCCGAAAAUGUACCGGGGCUAAACAUAUUACCGAAGCUGUGGAUUGUCCUUUGGACAAUGGUAGGAGAGCGUUCUAAGGGCGUUGAAGCAUGAUCGUAAGGACAUGUGGAGCGCUUAGAAGUGAGAAUGCCGGUGUGAGUAGCGAAAGACGGGUGAGAAUCCCGUCCACCGAUUGACUAAGGUUUCCAGAGGAAGGCUCGUCCGCUCUGGGUUAGUCGGGUCCUAAGCUGAGGCCGACAGGCGUAGGCGAUGGAUAACAGGUUGAUAUUCCUGUACCACCUAUAAUCGUUUUAAUCGAUGGGGGGACGCAGUAGGAUAGGCGAAGCGUGCGAUUGGAUUGCACGUCUAAGCAGUAAGGCUGAGUAUUAGGCAAAUCCGGUACUCGUUAAGGCUGAGCUGUGAUGGGGAGAAGACAUUGUGUCUUCGAGUCGUUGAUUUCACACUGCCGAGAAAAGCCUCUAGAUAGAAAAUAGGUGCCCGUACCGCAAACCGACACAGGUAGUCAAGAUGAGAAUUCUAAGGUGAGCGAGCGAACUCUCGUUAAGGAACUCGGCAAAAUGACCCCGUAACUUCGGGAGAAGGGGUGCUCUUUAGGGUUAACGCCCAGAAGAGCCGCAGUGAAUAGGCCCAAGCGACUGUUUAUCAAAAACACAGGUCUCUGCUAAACCGUAAGGUGAUGUAUAGGGGCUGACGCCUGCCCGGUGCUGGAAGGUUAAGAGGAGUGGUUAGCUUCUGCGAAGCUACGAAUCGAAGCCCCAGUAAACGGCGGCCGUAACUAUAACGGUCCUAAGGUAGCGAAAUUCCUUGUCGGGUAAGUUCCGACCCGCACGAAAGGCGUAACGAUUUGGGCACUGUCUCAACGAGAGACUCGGUGAAAUCAUAGUACCUGUGAAGAUGCAGGUUACCCGCGACAGGACGGAAAGACCCCGUGGAGCUUUACUGUAGCCUGAUAUUGAAAUUCGGCACAGCUUGUACAGGAUAGGUAGGAGCCUUUGAAACGUGAGCGCUAGCUUACGUGGAGGCGCUGGUGGGAUACUACCCUAGCUGUGUUGGCUUUCUAACCCGCACCACUUAUCGUGGUGGGAGACAGUGUCAGGCGGGCAGUUUGACUGGGGCGGUCGCCUCCUAAAAGGUAACGGAGGCGCUCAAAGGUUCCCUCAGAAUGGUUGGAAAUCAUUCAUAGAGUGUAAAGGCAUAAGGGAGCUUGACUGCGAGACCUACAAGUCGAGCAGGGUCGAAAGACGGACUUAGUGAUCCGGUGGUUCCGCAUGGAAGGGCCAUCGCUCAACGGAUAAAAGCUACCCCGGGGAUAACAGGCUUAUCUCCCCCAAGAGUUCACAUCGACGGGGAGGUUUGGCACCUCGAUGUCGGCUCAUCGCAUCCUGGGGCUGUAGUCGGUCCCAAGGGUUGGGCUGUUCGCCCAUUAAAGCGGUACGCGAGCUGGGUUCAGAACGUCGUGAGACAGUUCGGUCCCUAUCCGUCGUGGGCGUAGGAAAUUUGAGAGGAGCUGUCCUUAGUACGAGAGGACCGGGAUGGACAUACCUCUGGUGUACCAGUUGUCGUGCCAACGGCAUAGCUGGGUAGCUAUGUGUGGACGGGAUAAGUGCUGAAAGCAUCUAAGCAUGAAGCCCCCCUCAAGAUGAGAUUUCCCAACUUCGGUUAUAAGAUCCCUCAAAGAUGAUGAGGUUAAUAGGUUCGAG